CGGGGGGCAGCAGUGGGGAAUAUUGGACAAUGGGCGAAAGCCUGAUCCAGCAAUACCGCGUGAAUGAUGAAGGCCUUAGGGUUGUAAAGUUCUUUUAGUUGGGAAGAUAAUGACGGUACCAACAGAAAAAGCCCCGGCUAACUCCGUGCCAGCAGCCGCGGUAAGACGGAGGGGGCUAGCGUUGUUCGGAAUUACUGGGCGUAAAGGGCGCGUAGGCGGAUUAGUAAGUUGGGAGUGAAAGCCCGGGGCUUAACCUCGGAACUGCUUUCAAAACUGCUAGUCUAGAGUGAAGUAGGGGGUGAUGGAAUUCCUAGUGUAGAGGUGAAAUUCUUAGAUAUUAGGAGGAACACCGGUGGCGAAGGCGGUCACCUGGACUUCAACUGACGCUGAGGCGCGAAAGCGUGGGGAGCAAACAGGAUUAGAUACCCGAGU
RNAcentral lists this ribosomal RNA (432 nucleotides) under uncultured Rickettsiaceae bacterium. RNAcentral describes it as "bacterial SSU rRNA". It matches the Rfam family "Bacterial small subunit ribosomal RNA", at positions 342 to 791 of the family's 1533-position model. Lineage: Bacteria; Pseudomonadati; Pseudomonadota; Alphaproteobacteria; Rickettsiales; Rickettsiaceae. The record is from RNAcentral.